RNAcentral lists this ribosomal RNA (116 nucleotides) under uncultured eukaryote. RNAcentral's name for it is "partial small subunit ribosomal RNA". The record is from RNAcentral.
GUUGGUUCUACCCGAAGAUGGUGCGCUAACCGCAAGGAGGCAGCCARCCACGGUAGGGUCAGCGACUGGGGUGAAGUCGUAACAAGGUAGCCGUAGGUGAACCUGCAGAAGGAUCA